Molecule: long non-coding RNA, 543 nt
Filed under: Polistes fuscatus (common paper wasp)
Lineage: Eukaryota; Metazoa; Arthropoda; Insecta; Hymenoptera; Vespidae
Description: uncharacterized LOC122514955
Source: RNAcentral
ACUGGACAGGGUCCUAAAUCCAUGGGCCCAUCUUUUAAUCCAUCCAGUUCGUAUAAUCGACCAUCAAUAGAUACAUAACUCACAAAAUGGAAUACAUCAUCAUCUUUAGAUGCUUGUUUAGUGUCAUACUCGAAUAAUGAAUCAGACUUAAACUUUCCAUCCAUGCUACGCAGGUGAUCAACAUUCUUAUCUUUCAACAAUUAACAAAUUAUCCAAAAUGGAAAGUUCAACAAAAGAAGUGUACUGCGUAAUUUGCUAAAAAAUACUUCCUCUUCUUCUAGAACUAAAGUUUUACCUCGAAAAAGAAUUGUGAACUUCUCGAAUAACAUCGGAAUUACUUAAAGCGAGACCUCGCAUAUUUGCAUCGAAACUCUGACAAAAGUUUUUAAAUUCCUCUAAAUUAGGACCCAACGAUAUAUCUGAGUGUUUGCAAUUUAAAAGUACACUCAGUAUUGCUUGCGUAGCGCAAGCAUUAUUUAUCACCUAUAAAUAUGAUUUUUAAAUUAAAAUUAUUAGGAACAUUAUAUUGCAAUUUUAAAAGAU